UACGGAGGGUGCAAGCGUUAAUCGGAAUUACUGGGCGUAAAGGGCUCGUAGGUGGCCAACUAAGUCAGACGUGAAAUCCCCAGGCUUAACCUGGGAACUGCGUCUGAUACUGGAUGGCUUGAAUUCGGGAGAGGGAUGCAGAAUUCCAGGUGUAGCGGUGAAAUGCGUAGAUAUCUGGAGGAAUACCGGUGGCGAAGGCGGCAUCCUGGACCGAGAUUGACACUGAUGAGCGAAAGCUAGGGGAGCAAACGGG
Molecule: ribosomal RNA, 253 nt
Filed under: uncultured bacterium
Lineage: Bacteria
Description: partial 16S ribosomal RNA
Rfam family: Bacterial small subunit ribosomal RNA
Source: RNAcentral